Molecule: ribosomal RNA, 1702 nt
Filed under: Escherichia coli
Lineage: Bacteria; Pseudomonadati; Pseudomonadota; Gammaproteobacteria; Enterobacterales; Enterobacteriaceae
Description: partial 23S ribosomal RNA
Rfam family: Bacterial large subunit ribosomal RNA
Source: RNAcentral
GUUAAGCGACUAAGCGUACACGGUGGAUGCCCUGGCAGUCAGAGGCGAUGAAGGACGUGCUAAUCUGCGAUAAGCGUCGGUAAGGUGAUAUGAACCGUUAUAACCGGCGAUUUCCGAAUGGGGAAACCCAGUGUGUUUCGACACACUAUCAUUAACUGAAUCCAUAGGUUAAUGAGGCGAACCGGGGGAACUGAAACAUCUAAGUACCCCGAGGAAAAGAAAUCAACCGAGAUUCCCCCAGUAGCGGCGAGCGAACGGGGAGCAGCCCAGAGCCUGAAUCAGUGUGUGUGUUAGUGGAAGCGUCUGGAAAGGCGCGCGAUACAGGGUGACAGCCCCGUACACAAAAAUGCACAUGCUGUGAGCUCGAUGAGUAGGGCGGGACACGUGGUAUCCUGUCUGAAUAUGGGGGGACCAUCCUCCAAGGCUAAAUACUCCUGACUGACCGAUAGUGAACCAGUACCGUGAGGGAAAGGCGAAAAGAACCCCGGCGAGGGGAGUGAAAAAGAACCUGAAACCGUGUACGUACAAGCAGUGGGAGCACGCUUCGGCGUGUGACUGCGUACCUUUUGUAUAAUGGGUCAGCGACUUAUAUUCUGUAGCAAGGUUAACCGAAUAGGGGAGCCGAAGGGAAACCGAGUCUUAACUGGGCGUUAAGUUGCAGGGUAUAGACCCGAAACCCGGUGAUCUAGCCAUGGGCAGGUUGAAGGUUGGGUAACACUAACUGGAGGACCGAACCGACUAAUGUUGAAAAAUUAGCGGAUGACUUGUGGCUGGGGGUGAAAGGCCAAUCAAACCGGGAGAUAGCUGGUUCUCCCCGAAAGCUAUUUAGGUAGCGCCUCGUGAAUUCAUCUCCGGGGGUAGAGCACUGUUUCGGCAAGGGGGUCAUCCCGACUUACCAACCCGAUGCAAACUGCGAAUACCGGAGAAUGUUAUCACGGGAGACACACGGCGGGUGCUAACGUCCGUCGUGAAGAGGGAAACAACCCAGACCGCCAGCUAAGGUCCCAAAGUCAUGGUUAAGUGGGAAACGAUGUGGGAAGGCCCAGACAGCCAGGAUGUUGGCUUAGAAGCAGCCAUCAUUUAAAGAAAGCGUAAUAGCUCACUGGUCGAGUCGGCCUGCGCGGAAGAUGUAACGGGGCUAAACCAUGCACCGAAGCUGCGGCAGCGACGCUGAUGCGUUGUUGGGUAGGGGAGCGUUCUGUAAGCCUGCGAAGGUGUGCUGUGAGGCAUGCUGGAGGUAUCAGAAGUGCGAAUGCUGACAUAAGUAACGAUAAAGCGGGUGAAAAGCCCGCUCGCCGGAAGACCAAGGGUUCCUGUCCAACGUUAAUCGGGGCAGGGUGAGUCGACCCCUAAGGCGAGGCCGAAAGGCGUAGUCGAUGGGAAACAGGUUAAUAUUCCUGUACUUGGUGUUACUGCGAAGGGGGGACGGAGAAGGCUAUGUUGGCCGGGCGACGGUUGUCCCGGUUUAAGCGUGUAGGCUGGUUUUCCAGGCAAAUCCGGAAAAUCAAGGCUGAGGCGUGAUGACGAGGCACUACGGUGCUGAAGCAACAAAUGCCCUGCUUCCAGGAAAAGCCUCUAAGCAUCAGGUAACAUCAAAUCGUACCCCAAACCGACACAGGUGGUCAGGUAGAGAAUACCAAGGCGCUUGAGAGAACUCGGGUGAAGGAACUAGGCAAAAUGGUGCCGUAACUUCGGGAGAAGG